CCUACGGGUGGCAGCAGUGGGGAAUAUUGCACAAUGGGGGAAACCCUGAUGCAGCGACGCCGCGUGAGUGAAGAAGUAUUUCGGUAUGUAAAGCUCUAUCAGCCGGGAAGAAAAUGACGGUACCUGAUUAAGAAGCCCCGGCUUACUACGUGACAGCAGCCACGGUAAGACGUUGGGGGCAAGCGUUAUACGGAUUUACUGGGUGGAAAGGGAGCGUAGACGGCAGCACCAGUCUGGAGUGAAAUGCCGGGGCUUAACCCCGGAACUGCUUUGGAAACUGUGCCGCUAGGGUGCAGGAGAGGUAAGUGGAAUUCCUAGUGUAGCGGUGAAAUGCGUAGAUAUUAGGAGGAACACCAGUUGCGAAGGCGGCUUACUGGACUGUAACUGACGUUGAGGCUCGAAAGCGUGGGGAGCAAACAGGAUUAGAUACCCGAGUAGUC
RNAcentral lists this ribosomal RNA (440 nucleotides) under uncultured bacterium. Its description in RNAcentral is "partial 16S ribosomal RNA". It matches the Rfam family "Bacterial small subunit ribosomal RNA", at positions 338 to 795 of the family's 1533-position model. The record is from RNAcentral.